AAAAUUGGUCUACACAUAGGAAUCAUUUGGAGAACUAAUUUAUUAAAAAAUAGAGAUUCGUGUGCCCUGCCUUAGAACUACAAAAUAAGUCACGGACUGAUACCAGGCCAUGGCCUGGGGGUUGGGGAUUGCAAACUUAGAACAUUGCCUGUAGCACAGCAACUACUUUAUGUUACUGAUCAGAAUCCACUUGCAUGGAGAAGAUGCCCAACUUUGUAUAUACGGAAACAGAGGUAGGGCUAUAGCUUUGAAAUUUUAUCUUCUCCUAGGGAUGUUAGCUCUACCUUCUUCUUCUGAAAGUUCUUCUUGUAGUGGUCUUUUUAUGUCAUUUCUCCUUGGUCUUAUAAUGAUAACUAGCUGCCUCUAUCUUCCUAUUAUAUAUAAACAUAUAAUACACAAAUGGGUAAAAUAAAUCAUUCUUACUCUCUUUUUGAGCUGGAGGUCCAUAUACCACCAGUAGGCUGACACCCAAAUUGAGGCUAUUAGGUAACCAGUGAGCAUUUCUCCAAAAGAUGCUGGCUUUUUUGCUUUUUUUCACAUCCUUACCAUAGUCACUUUAGAUCAAUGCCAGACAUGAAUAAUUCAUAUUCUCACAAGGCAAAAAAUGGCACAUGUGAAAAUUGUAAUAAACACUUCUGAUUGAUCUGGCUCAUAUUUAUAAUAUAUACAUAUUUGUUCAUAUUUAUACAUAUACAUGUGUAUGUACUGAGAGAAUAAACAUGAAUGAGCAUACUGUGCAAACAAGCCAUGAUUCCUGCCUUCUGGGAGAUUAUCAUCUAUCUUACUGUCAACCGUGGUUAACUCACUCUCAUUAAAACCCACACAGCAGUUGGCAUCUCUCAAGGAUUUCAUCUGGUAGUUAUUUGCCUUCUCUGCUGCCUCUCAGUUCCAGCCAUGCCUUUUCUUUGUAUCUCUGUCGACAUCUAGCACAGUGUCUUAAACAAAGGAGAUGCUCUCUAGUAGGUUACCUAAAUUGAAAGUAAGAUCCUCUAAAGGGCAGCUACUUAUUGAUGUUUCACAUUCACAGAUGAGGACCUCAGAGUAUCACUACAACACCCAUGGUGAAACUUCAGGCUUUCUGAGGUACAUUAAUUUACUCACAUCACAGGAAUACCAUUUAUUACAUUUCUGCUCCAAUGAGAUAAGUGCUACCCUAAUGACCUGAAAGAGUUAAUGCAUCUUGGAAAAGAUCCAAAUUACUCUCUGGAGACAGUUUAUUCAAUUAACUGGCUGAGACUCAGCAUUUUCAAUUACCAGUUCAGUUACUAAAGACUCUUUCAUAUUGGUUAUCUGUUAAUGUGUGAUAUUGACACACUUAUAAAAAGAACAUUUGCUUAUAGUGCAUUCAAAAUGGAAUCUUUAGGGAUAAUAAAUGCAGAUUAAAAUUUAUUUUGUACCUACUGAGUGCCAGGAACUGUGUUUAGUACCUUCCCAUUGGGAUUUAAGGGGAAUGCAGUGAAGACUGGGAGAUAAUGGGGUUGGAAGUACAAGGUAGUGCUAUACAAAGUACUGGUAGACAGAGAAAAAUAAAGUGGUUCCUUUCUUUAAAAAGUCCACAAAGAAGAUCCCAACUGAGUUCAUCUACGGCUCUUCAGGAUCUGACUAAAUUCAAUUAGCUACUCAUUGUCCUGAAUAAAUGCAUAUUAUCCCUAUCUAGAAAGACCUUCUCACACACCUAAAUCCUGCCUUCCUCCAAGAACCAGUUCAGCUCCUACCCCAAGCAGAAAACUUUCUCUGAUUGAUCUGUU
Molecule: non-coding RNA, 1748 nt
Organism: Microcebus murinus (gray mouse lemur)
Lineage: Eukaryota; Metazoa; Chordata; Mammalia; Primates; Cheirogaleidae
Source: RefSeq, a predicted model, not a curated record